RNAcentral lists this ribosomal RNA (257 nucleotides) under uncultured bacterium. Its description in RNAcentral is "partial 16S ribosomal RNA". It matches the Rfam family "Bacterial small subunit ribosomal RNA", at positions 15 to 263 of the family's 1533-position model. The record is from RNAcentral.
GAUCAGGCUCAGGAUGAACGCUAGCUACAGGCUUAACACAUACAAGUCGAGGGGCAUCAGUUUGGUUUGCUUGCAAACCAAAGCUGGCGACCGGCGCACGGGUGAGUAACACGUAUCCAACCUGCCUCAUACUCGGGGAUAGCCUUUCGAAAGAAAGAUUAAUAUCCGAUAGCAUAUAUUUCCCGCAUGGGUUUUAUAUUAAAGAAAUUCGGUAUGAGAUGGGGAUGCGUUCCAUUAGUUUGUUGGGGGGGUAACGG